RNAcentral lists this ribosomal RNA (312 nucleotides) under Alkalihalobacterium chitinilyticum. RNAcentral's name for it is "bacterial SSU rRNA". It matches the Rfam family "Bacterial small subunit ribosomal RNA", at positions 1 to 303 of the family's 1533-position model. Lineage: Bacteria; Bacillati; Bacillota; Bacilli; Caryophanales; Bacillaceae. The record is from RNAcentral.
UUUAUGGAGAGUUUGAUCCUGGCUCAGGACGAACGCUGGCGGCGUGCCUAAUACAUGCAAGUCGAGCGGACCUCAUAAGAGCUUGCUCUUAUGAGGUUAGCGGCGGACGGGUGAGUAACACGUGGGCAACCUGCCCUGUAGACUGGGAUAACUUCGGGAAACCGGAGCUAAUACCGGAUAAUCAGUGACACCACAUGGUGUCAUUGUAAAAGUUGGGAUACUAACACUACAGGAUGGGCCCGCGGCGCAUUAGCUAGUUGGUGAGGUAACGGCUCACCAAGGCGACGAUGCGUAGCCGACCUGAGAGGGUGA